Dreissena polymorpha is the source of this 723-nucleotide long non-coding RNA. RefSeq lists it as uncharacterized. NCBI's taxonomy places the organism in Eukaryota, Metazoa, Mollusca, Bivalvia, Myida, Dreissenidae. The record is from RefSeq and is a predicted model, not a curated record. The transcript has 5 exons.
ACCAACGCAAAUCGAAACUAGCUGAUCAAUUUCGAAAAAUCCGCGUUUUCCCACAGUGAUAUAUAUAUUACGCAAUCUGACCCGUCUUCAACGCUCAGAAAUCCAACCUUAGUCCAACAAUAGCCACCGCCAGAAUAAGGUUGAUCCAUAACGUUUGACUAUAAGUUUGGCAAGGGCCACAUUCAGCAGUGCAUGGGGAGUCCAUAGCGUCUGCAGCUGCAUCAAGAGGAUUUACAUCGUAUAGAACAGUUACAAUGGAUGAGUUUAGUAGUUCUUCAGAAUGGCGUCACUCGACGGGAAUCAAAACGAGAUACAUUACAUACGUCUCCAUAUGCUUAUUAUGGAAGCGCGGAAGUUUCUGCGAGCCAAGUUUGACUCUAUAAUUAAACCUCCUGAUUUAACUAACACGAUGAUGAGAGUACAUGGAACAAUAGAUAAGCUGAAGAAAUAUAGGAUUAUCUCAAAUGAACAAUAUAAACUGUUAAAUCCCAAUCCUAAUUCUGAAAAGUUUGAUACCACUUUGUUGGUGUGUCUUCUUCAAAACAUCUGUAAUUUAAACCCUAGAGACAAAGUGUGGGCUGAGAAAGAUAAUACUAACAUUAAAGGUAAUACAGACCAGGACAAUAUCCAGCGUAUCAGGAAUUUGAGAAACAAAAUGCAGCACAAAAACGUUGCAAGCAUAGAGCAGCAUGAAUUUGAUAUCAUCUGGAAUGAUUUAGAAAA